ACUGCACACUAUGUGUGAAACUUGGACUUAUAUUGGUUCUUUUAUCGUCUCUGGCAUUUCAUCCUUCCGAAUCAGUGAGUAUGGCUAGGAAAAUGGUGAUAGGUUCAAGGCCACCAGGUUGCGUAAACAAGUGCAUGAGUUGCCAGCCAUGCAAGGCAACUCUAAUCAUUUCACCAAGCCAGAAGAACAAGGGCCAUUACAAUACAGAUCCAUCUAAAAGACAAUCUGAUGAUAUCUAUUAUCUCCUAGCUUGGAAAUGCAGAUGCAGAGAUCAGCUCUUUCAACCUUGAUAUGGUCCUCCACCCGUCCAAGUUCAGUAGUAAAUUUUCCUAGGGACAUAAUUGAAUUAGUAGUGACUAGUGUCAACUAUAUAUGCAUCAUCAACAUCAGAAACAUAUUAGAAAUAUAUGCUAGAGAGUUGAGGGAUUAACUGUGUUUUAGUAUAUAAACUAAACACUGAUUUUGUAUUAGAUGCUCAAAUAUAUACUUGUAUGCUUGCGGGCAAGAGUUGAUGGC
This is a long non-coding RNA of Nicotiana attenuata, 516 nucleotides long. RefSeq lists it as uncharacterized. The transcript has 2 exons. Lineage: Eukaryota; Viridiplantae; Streptophyta; Magnoliopsida; Solanales; Solanaceae. The record is from RefSeq and is a predicted model, not a curated record.